RNAcentral lists this long non-coding RNA (954 nucleotides) under Coccomyxa subellipsoidea. RNAcentral describes it as "long non-coding RNA (CSUB_LNC000536)". Lineage: Eukaryota; Viridiplantae; Chlorophyta; Trebouxiophyceae; Coccomyxaceae. The record is from RNAcentral.
GUGGGAUAUAAUUCGUGCCAUGUACCUCUGAAGAGCAUUAAUUUACACUCGGUGGUCAAGGCAAUGCUCCAGUAUGCAUGCAUGCUCAUAGAUGAGAUGUCGGAUUCAUGUGCACGUUGAUCACCACGGUGGCGCCCUCCGAUGCUCCAGGAUGCAUGCAUGCUCAUAGAUAAAUUGUCGGAUUCAUGUGCACGCUGGUCACCACGGUGGGGCCGGAGGGCGCCUCUGAGUCAGGGCAGGCUGCUCCUUGAGUGCUGGAGUCCAAUCACAGCUUGAACUUCAAGCCUUGAACCUGCCGCAUGGAUUAGCCGCCACCGUGGCCAUUGCCACGCGAACGUUGUGACGGGUCGUGACAUGGUGCGCUUGGAGUACUCCCCUAGAGCCCUGCUUGGAGUUUGCCAGUGCUGCCAGGUGUGCUUGUCAGCAGUGUUACCGCCGCAGGGGCAAACGAGGGCGUGAAUCUAGAGGCGCAUUCUGCAGAUUCGCCAACCGGCAAGUUGCAAGCUUAGAGCCCCGCCUUUGCCCAGUUGCAGGGCCUGUUGCAUGCCACGGCAUUUGCACAAUCUUGACUGGUCCGGGACAGACCCAAAUGUUCUGCAAAGACCACAUUUAUGUCUCUCUACUGUAAAGGCCAGACCUGAAUACCCAAUGUCAAUGGCUCACCACAGGGAAGUACUUAUCAGAGACCAGCAGCGCAGGCGCAGCUAUCUAGCUCGGGCUGCAGCGAGGUUUUGCACAUUGCAUUGAAACCUGAUCAGCACGCAAUACCGGUAUCGAUCGGAUAACGUGCUGCCACCAUUUCAGCAUGCUGAGGACAUGCCAAUGUAAUUCAUAUUUUGGCCCGUGUGUCAUAGCUAGGUGCAGAAUGACUUCAUUGCUGUCUUGAUGUCACAGAUAUAUUUGUGGACCUCAGAUUUCCUUGCAUUCAGACUCGCCAACUCCGCAUUAACCUUC